UGAGAUCUUUUUCUUGGCCUCCUGUGUCAAUAGUACUUUAACAAGUUGAAUAUAGUAAUAUUAAGAAGUGAAGGUACACACACAAUGCCGACGCUCUGGCUCUACAGAAAUUUCCAUUAACAAAAUGAAAAGAAAAAACAAAACAAAACAUUCACUCUCUACAGAGAUGAUCAUUCCAGAAUUCAUUGGCUGCACCAUAUGCUUUCGAUCGUCAACCAACUAAUGGCUGCAUACUCUGCAUUGACUAGAUCAAGAGACAAAUUACGAAGGUUUAACAACUUGUGACUAAGGGGGUAGUGCUAGUACAAUUAUAAAUGUAGCUUGCAACAAAUGAUCCAUUGAUGCCUCAUAUGACAAGGUAACGUAAAAACAAACUAGACAACUACAAGAUGCAUCCUAGAUCACUAAUCCAACAUACUCAAGGUACAGUAAGUAUGGACCAGUCUUCUAAUUAAAAGUACAGAACUGAGUAAGUUUAAUCAAUUAUGCAAUGAGAGUCUCCAAACAAGAAUCCCUGCACACUCAGCGACUCCACUAUGCCGUUUCUGACAUUAAUUAAAUCAUGAUAAGACAAAUGAGCAGCCUAGCAUAUUUAUGCUGCAAGGAAACAAUUUACAAGUGCUUAUGCAUGCCACGCGCAUCUGGAAGGCAACAAAGAGGGUAUGUGACAAUUUAGUAACUUGCAACAAAAAUAUGGAAUGGGAUGCUGCAUAGCACAUACAAAUGUGUUUUGAUCAAGGAACAAGAUGCAACAAGUCAGCUGAUACUAGGUGCUGUAAAUUUCUACCCAAGAGAAGUAGUGGAUGAUUCAAGACAUGAAUCCGAAGAUUUGUUCUGCAUCUACUCAGGAUGCAACAACAAUCUCGCCUCGAAGUGCAAGUAUCACUUUGUAAUUCCAGCCGAUUACGAGUCCGGGAAGCAAUUGGACAAUCUUUUUGACAAGGAUAAUUACUUUUUUAAAGAUUGAACACACCUCUUACAUGGGUUGCUCCACAACAAUGGGAUCGGCCACCUCAUAUGUAUCAAUGGGAUUAAUGAGGGUUCUGCUUUCAUCAUGCAUCUAUAGGAUUUACUUUGCCUUUAUUUUCAGGCGAGAUAAUUAUCAUUUUUAUAUUAGUUGUUUCAUAUUUUUGUUAUAUAUAAAACAUAUUAAUUGAAUCUGACUUUGUGAUUUAUAGGAAAAUAACUAUCUGUGAUGAAGCAUGUAAAGCAUUUAGGCAUAUCACAUUGAUAGACGGUCUCCGUGAGACGUGCGAGGGGCCCAUGGAGACUAGGUUGUUGUUUAUUGUGGCUUUUGGUAGUACCUAGUUUGGGAGGUAGGGAUACACGUUUCCACGUGAAAGCUAUGAGGUGUCAAGAGAUACCUACCCAACCGCCAUUGAGUCCCUUGAGUCUCUUUCGUUGACCGAGGUUGAAGAAAUUGUAGAAAAAUACAAGAAGAUGUGCCUUACUCCCCUACAGUGCAUGAGAGAUUUAUUAUCUUUCGUGCUGCAAAUAAGGUGUGGCGCGAGGGGCCGAAAGAGAACGAAUCUAAAUAAAGAUUUGUGGACGGUGUAUGAUGAGGUUUUAAUGCUGAGGAAAAUUCACGUCCAAAAAACUUUGCAAUUCAAGAUAGUUUGGAUGUGAUUUUUCCUCCUCAUUAAAACCUCAUCAUACACCGUCCACAAAUCUUUAUUUAGAUCCGUUCUUUUUCGGCCUCUCGUGCCACACCUCAUCUGCAGCACGAAAAAUAAUAAAUCUCUCAUGCACUCUAGGGGUGUAAGACACAUCUUCUUGUAUUUUCCUACAAUUUCUUCAACUUCAAUCAACGAACGAGACCUAAGGUACCCAAUAGCGGUUGUGUAGGUACCUCUUGACACCCCAUAGCUUCCACGUAGAAACGUGUAUCCCAACCUCCCAAACCACAUACUACCAAAAGCCACACUAAACAACAACCUAGUCUCCAUGGCCCCCUCGCACGGCUCACAGAGACCAUCUAUCAAUGUGAUAUGCCUAAAUGCUUUACAUGCUUCAUCACAUGCAGUUAUUUUCCUAUACAUCACAAAAUCAAAUUCAAUUCAUAUGUUUUAUAUAUAACAAAAAUAUAAAACAACUAAUAUAAAAACGAUAAUUACCUAACCUGAAAAUAAAGGCAAAGUAAACCCCAUAGAUGCAUGAUGUCUCGACCAGUUAUGAAAGCAGAACCCUCAUUAAUCCAAUUGACACAUAUGAGGCGGCCGAUCCCGUUGUUGUUGAGCAACCAAUGUAUAAGGUGUGUCCAAUCUUUAAAAAAGUAAACAUCCUUGUCAAAAGGAUCGUCCAAUUGCUCCCCGGACUCGUAAUCGGCUGAAAUUACAAAAUGAUACUUGCACUUCGAGACGAGAUUGUUGUUGCAUCUUGGGUAGCUGCAAUAGAUGCAGAACAAAUGUUCUUCAUAUUCAUGUCUUGAAUCAUCCACUACGUCUUUGAGAAUGAAGAGUGGAACUGUCCUCUUAACACAUCCUUCCUUGUGAACCAACUCCCAUUUCCAUACAUGCCCUUCUUGGACAACAUCGGUCAGCCACGAAAGCCUUAAUAUUUCCAUGAAUGAAUCUAACAAGGGUUUUUGGAUGACACUUUCAGACUUUAAAUUGGAAUUGUCAAAGUUGAUAUGUGAAAUUUGGGUAGUCAUUCUCCUGUACAAAACCACAUGAAAAAAAAAAAA
This is a long non-coding RNA of Prunus persica (peach), 2683 nucleotides long. RefSeq lists it as uncharacterized. NCBI's taxonomy places the organism in Eukaryota, Viridiplantae, Streptophyta, Magnoliopsida, Rosales, Rosaceae. The transcript is spliced from 2 exons. The record is from RefSeq and is a predicted model, not a curated record.